GAAUGAACGCUGGCGGCGCGCCUAAUACAUGCAAGUCGAGCGAGAAGACGUAGCAAUACGUUUGUAAAGCGGCGAACGGGUGAGGAAUACAUGGGUAACCUACCCUAGAGUGGGGAAUAACUAGCCGAAGGUUAGCUAAUACCGCGUACGCUCCUUGGACUUCGGUUCAGGAGGAAAGCGAUACCGAGGGUAUCGCGCUCUUGGAUGGGCUCAUGUCCUAUCAGUUUGUUGGUGAGGUAACGGCUCACCAAGGCUUCGACGGGUAGCUGGUCUGAGGGGACGAUCAGCCACACUGGCACUGCGACACGGGCCAGACUCCUACGGGAGGCAGCAGUAAGGAAUAUUGCGCAAUGGGCGAAAGCCUGACGCAGCGACGCCGCGUGGGGGAUGAAGGUCUUCGGA
Molecule: ribosomal RNA, 402 nt
Filed under: uncultured bacterium
Lineage: Bacteria
Description: bacterial SSU rRNA
Rfam family: Bacterial small subunit ribosomal RNA
Source: RNAcentral